ACAGUCCCAACCACAAGAAAACAACUAACAAAACAAGAUAUCACCACAAAGCUUUAAACACUUGCGACCGAUUAACACUAGACAAUGCCAAUGAGAAAGCCAUGUCAUUGCCAUUCCAAUCCGUUAAAGAGAAGACGACAGAUCCGACUUUAAGCUUAACAUUUUCAAUCUUUGAAAAAAUUGCAUGAAGUGACCAAGGUCUCAAAAAAAUUUUAAUACACCAAGAAAACGCCACCGGAGAACCUAAUUCAAUAAAUAAAGAAUCAUUAGUCUUCCAAUUCAUAGAUAAAAAGAAUUCAAGGCAAUCUUCACCGCACCAAUUUCAACUUCCUCAACAACAUUUAUAUGAACAGCACCAGAGAAUAUCCUUUUUGCAAUCCUCUCCAUAUCUCUCAAAACUCCUCCACACCCUACUUUGUCCUCUUUCCUGAUUCCACACACAUUGAAUUUUAACCAACCAAGAGGAGGGGGCUUCGAAAAAGAAGCAACAUAUUUAGAUUUAUAGGGCACAACUUGACAUAUUUGUGGAGAGAUCCACCAAAAAUUCUGUUGCAUCAUGAUUUCAUUAUGAACUGAUCUAAUCAACAACAAAGCCCUCAUCUUAGAUUGAAACACCAAAUUUUCCAUAUGUACUCUCCUUCCAUAAAAAACUAGCCCAUUUCUUGCUAACCAUAUUGUCCAACAUGCUGCUGUAAUAGAAAUCAACCAUAAGAUUUUCUUACUUUCAGCCAUUUUCACAUUAUUACAUAAAGCGAUGUAAUCCAUAACACCAUCGACCUUCUUCCAAACAACAUCCCACCAAUUGAAGAUUUUAGCCCAAAGGCCUUCGAUAAAUCUUCAUUUAAAGAAUAGGUGUGAUGCACUUUCUGUUUCUCCUUCGCACCAAGGGCAGCUUAUUGAAAAAUUUUGAGUGUUCACUCCUCUUUUAGCCAGAAAUUCCUUAGAUGGAAUUCUGUCAAUCGCGAACAUCCAAAGAAAACUACGAACUCUAGGGGGAACCUUAAUAUUCCAAACUCUACCGCAAGUAAAAUUAACGUCCGCUUCAUCAUCCAACAUCAAUAAAUCCGAACAUUUUUUUAACCAAGAAUACCCUACAUUUAUCAUUAACCCAACACAACCUAUCCUCUACUUCCGAUAACAACACCGUGCCACUUACCUUAUCAACCAUAUCUUUGCACAUCCUCUUCUCCCUACCCAACAAAGGUCUAGAAAACCAGCCUUCCUAAUUAACACUACCAUUCCCUAAAUAACUUAAAGAAUCGGCUAUACUACUUACUUUAUUUUUAGCAAGGCGGAAGAGCCUUAGUAACAACAAUUUCAAUGGUUGAUUCCCACACCAAAUGUCCCACCAAAACAAAGUCGACUUACCAUUCCCUAUCUUCCAACAGAAAGAUUCCGACCUCACCCAUUUGGACACUUUAGCAUCUUUAGCAUUUUCAACUAUAUCUCUCUGAAUAGUUGGCAUAUCUUUUUGAUAAGUUAUCUUAAACGGCCAUUGUUGAACAUUUGGCCCGUAUUUAGCUAAAAUAAUCUUUUGCCAUAACGCCUCUUUUUCUAUCGCGAAUCUCCAGCUCCAUUUAGCUGAUAAAGUUUUAUUUUAACACCUAGAUUUGCCACACCUGCCCCACCCUUAUCCUUUGGCUUACAGACAGUAUUCCAUCUAAUUCUCAAUAUCUUCUUUUUCCCAUCCAAAUUCCCCAUAGGAAAUUCCUUCUAAUCUUGUUGAUCUUUUUAAUAAAGUGACCGGAGCUUGGAAUAGAGACAUGAAGUAUAUCAACAACGAAGACAACACCGCAUUUAUAAGAACGACCUUACCAACCCAUGUAAGUGAACGACAUUUCCAUCCUAAUAACUUCAUCUUGACUUUGUCUAUGAUGGGUUCUGAUGUAGCUAUUCUUUUCGGGUUUGCUCCCAGUGGUAUCCUCAAAUAGUUGAAAGGAAGAGAUCCUAUUUUACAUUUGCAAAUGGCAGCCAAUCUAAAUAAUAAUUCUUCUUCCACUUCGAACCCCGCUAAGCAAGAUUUUUUAAAGUUAAUGCUUAACCUCGAAAAAAUCUCAAAAACGUUUAGAGUAUACUUCACGUUGGUCACCUCAUUUUCGUUAGCUUUUAGGAAAAGAAUAGUAUCAUCCGCAAAUUGAAGAUGAAAAAAGCGCAUAACAAGAAUAACAUUAUUAAAGCCCUCGAUCAAUCCCAACUCCGCAGCUUUGUCCAACGCCAAAUGAAAAACCUCUGUCACUAAAAUGAAUAAAAAUGGAGACAGUGGGUCUCUCUGUCGAAGUCCUCUAUGAAAUCUGAAUUCAUUGGAUGAAGAACCAUUAAUGAUAACUGCAGCUCUUGCCGUAGAUAAACAUUCCAACAUCCAACCUCUCCACUUUUCCCCAAACCCCAUUUUAGAUAACACCAACUGCAGAAAAUCCCAUCUAACGCAGUCGUAAGCUUUAGAAAAAUCUAAUUUAAAAAUCAACUUACCCCCAGAACCACCUUUCUUCAAAACCGAAUGGAUUAAUUCAUUUGCAAUUAAAACCCCAUCAAAUAUUUGUCUACCCUUAAUGAAGGCACUUUGUGUAUCACUAACCACCUCCUCUACAAGCUCCCUUAAUCUUAGUGACAAAACCUUGGACACAAUCUUGUAAAGAGAGCUCACCAAGCAAAUUGGCCUAAACUCUGAAAUUUCAGUAGGAUUUUCCACCUUUGGGAUAAGAGUGCUAAAUUAAAAAUUAAUGCUCUUCUAAGUUUCCUGGAUGUGAAAAAAUCAGACAUCACAUCAAAUAAAUCAUGCUUCAUGAUCUCCCAACACUUUAUAAAAAAACACAAAUUAAACCCUUCUGGCCUAGGCGCUUUCGAUUCAUCACAACUCACACAGCUUCUUUGAUUUCUUCCAUAAAAAAAGGGCUCCUCCAAUUUCAUAGCUUUUUCUUCGUUAAGCAAUCUGAAUUUCAAAUCUAACCCCAUUUUCCACCUUCUUGCAGAGCUGUCAAAAUAAUUAUUAAAAUAAUUGAAUAGCCCCCCUUUUAUUUCCUUAGGGUCCUUAAUAUUCUGGCCCCCAAUUUUUAAAUUAAACACCAAUUUUCUUUUAGCUUUGAUUUUCACCGACCUGUGGAAAAAAACACUAUUAGUAUCCCCUCCUUUUAACCAAGUCAUCCUCGAUUUUCGUCCCAAAUUGAUUCUUAUUUUUAUUGCUUCCCAAAUCUCAAUGUUCAACUGUUUUAACUCCUCAAUCUCCACUUCGGCUAGCUUCCUUUUUUUGCUUACAUCAUCAAUCUCCUUAAUUCUAGCCUCGCUUCCGAUGAUUCUUUUUUCCAGAAUAUUUCCAUCAUUAACAUUCCACUUCCUAAGAGCUCACUUUAAUUUUCUCAAUUUGGCAGCCGUUUUACCUCUCAGACCAUCCAUUCCCGACCAUUCCUAUUCAAUCAACUUCAUACAUCCAUCCUUUUUAAACCAAGCAUUGACAAACUUAAAAGGCCGAGGUCCCCAGUCUACAGAUUCAUUCACCAAUAUCACUGGAAUAUGAUCAAAUACAGAUCUGUUAAGUCCCUGCUGUUGUAAAUCCUUAAACUGAACCACCCAGUCUUCUUUUAUUAAAAAUCUAUCCAUUUAGCUAGAGCAAACCAGGUGAAUUUUUUUCCUAUUAAUGGUAAGUUGACUAACUUACAACUUUCUAUGAACUUGCCACACUCCUUUGACUCCUUUUCUGUGCUCGAGUAAUUUGUGCGUUCACUACAGUUUCUCACCACAUUAAAAUCUCCACCAAUGAUCCAUGCUUUACAAAAUUGAUUUCUCAAACCAGAAAUUUCUUCCCACAUCAUUUUUUAUUCUGCAAGGCUGUUCGAAGCAUAAACAUUAAUUAAAGUCAUCUCAUUCUCUUCGACUACCCAUUUUCUUGCUACUAGAAUGAUCCUCCUCUCAUACAAAUCAACUUUUGUUGAGAAACGACCCUUAUCCCAGAUUGUUAAUAAACCCCCUGACCUUUCUACAGCAGCUGCGUUUUUUAAACCAAAGCAAUCAUCACCCCAAAAUUUUCUAACUAACUUCAUUAACACCGAUUCUAAUUUACUUUCUUGAAUUAAACAAACAUUGGCUCUAUUCAUUCUCACUACACCAUUGAAAGCCUCAAUUUUGGGAGCUGAACCCAACCCUCUAAUGUUCCACGUAAUAAUUCUCAUACUCCUUAACAAUAUAGAAUAAUCAAAAGAUAACAACACGAAAACAAACACAUACCAGUAUCCCGAACUCUAUCAACCCCCAGCCUAGAGUGCUCCCUAUUGCUUUCCAUCGAUCCUCAUAAUUUCUUCAACAAUUAUCUCAUCGUCUCCUUGCACAUUGAAACCCAACCUUUUCCCUACCUCCUACGUCUUUUUCGCUUCUCUGAGGAGAACUCUUCUGCUAUUGCUGAUAUCGGAAUCCGAAAGUGAUAAAUUUGCAAUACUGUCGUUGAUUCUCAAAAUCCCCUUUCCGUUCUGUUUUCUUAGCCCUCUGUCUCUCUUCUUCUUCUCCUUCGUUGUGAGUGUUGUAUCUUGAAUCUUGCGCAUAGAUCUAAUUUUCUUGUUUAGAGCUUUCUUCUUUCUUUUACUCUGCCUAAUUUGGAAAAUUUCCUUUUUCAAUCUCUGAUGUAGAAACCCGAUCCCUAUGGCUCUCUGGAUUAGAUAAAUAGCCUGAUUUUGUUUUAACUUUGGGCUUACUUCGAAAUCUGCACUCAUUAAUUCAAUUUUAUUAUACCUAUCUGCAUUGGCCCCUAAACAUUAAUUCUCUGCCUCUUCAUUUGAUCCCAGGCUCGCUCCAAAGACAUCUGCACAUUGGGUCUCCAAUCCAUUAAUCUGCUCCAUACCCAACCCAAGGCUCUUAUUGUUUAAAUCUGUAAAAACGUGGACAAGUAACGUAGCAUUUGUCUCCCCUACUACAGGAACACUCAACACGUUGCGUAGUGAAUUGGGUUCCUC
Molecule: long non-coding RNA, 4937 nt
Filed under: Gossypium barbadense (sea-island cotton)
Lineage: Eukaryota; Viridiplantae; Streptophyta; Magnoliopsida; Malvales; Malvaceae
Description: long non-coding RNA (GBAR_LNC002859)
Source: RNAcentral